This 69-nucleotide transfer RNA is filed under the name Labidostomis ghilianii. RNAcentral describes it as "tRNA-Lys". Lineage: Eukaryota; Metazoa; Arthropoda; Insecta; Coleoptera; Chrysomelidae. The record is from RNAcentral.
CAUUAGGUGGCUGAAAGUAAGCAAUGGAAUUUUAACCCAUCUAAUAGUAAUUCACGUCUACUUCUAAUG